Molecule: ribosomal RNA, 679 nt
Filed under: uncultured bacterium
Lineage: Bacteria
Description: bacterial SSU rRNA
Rfam family: Bacterial small subunit ribosomal RNA
Source: RNAcentral
UGAUCAUGGCUCAGAUUGAACGCUGGCGGAAUGCUUUACACAUGCAAGUCGAACGGCAGCACGGGGGCAACCCUGGUGGCGAGUGGCGAACGGGUGAGUAAUACAUCGGAACGUGCCCAGUCGUGGGGGAUAACGUAGCGAAAGCUACGCUAAUACCGCAUACGAUCUCUGGAUGAAAGCGGGGGACCGCAAGGCCUCGCGCGAUUGGAGCGGCCGAUGGCAGAUUAGGUAGUUGGUGGGGUAAAGGCUCACCAAGCCGACGAUCUGUAGCUGGUCUGAGAGGACGACCAGCCACACUGGGACUGAGACACGGCCCAGACUCCUACGGGAGGCAGCAGUGGGGAAUUUUGGACAAUGGGCGCAAGCCUGAUCCAGCCAUUCCGCGUGCAGGAUGAAGGCCCUCGGGUUGUAAACUGCUUUUGUACGGAACGAAACGGCGCUGGUUAAUACCUGGCGCUAAUGACGGUACCGUAAGAAUAAGCACCGGCUAACUACGUGCCAGCAGCCGCGGUAAUACGUAGGGUGCAAGCGUUAAUCGGAAUUACUGGGCGUAAAGCGUGCGCAGGCGGUUUUGUAAGACAGGUGUGAAAUCCCCGGGCUUAACCUGGGAACUGCAUUUGUGACUGCAAGGCUGGAGUGCGGCAGAGGGGGAUGGAAUUCCGCGUGUAGCAGUGAAAUG